UGAUGAGUUUACAGCCUCUUUGAAGUUCAGAGACCUUUUUUAGUUCACCGAACCACACGUGUUGAUAGUAUCGGUCAUUUCAGCUUUAUCAGAUACUGAUAUUAGUGGGAAUAGUUUUAUUAUUACAAGAAAUGACAGCUUCUCUGGGGUCGAAUCAAGAUAAGGAUCAUUUUAAAGUUAGAGCAUGGUUUAAUCUUAACAGCACUUCCUGUAAAAAUUCAGAUAUUCAGUGCAAAGAGGUUUAUUGAGUAAAUACUGAAUUCAGUUUUAUUUCCACUAGGACUGGGUUAAUGUUGCACGUUCAUACAUUGAAGCUGCAGAAAAAACACAGAUUGUUGCAGCCUUAAAGCAGUUUUACAGUACUUUAAAUUACAGUGCUGUUUAAAAAAAAUAAAGCUGUAGCAUUUAUUGAAACAUUAUCAAACUAGCUUCGUUUACAUGGACAAAAUUUCUUGAUCCGAUUAAAAAUUGAGGGAUUGGUAAUCAGAAUCCACGGUUUAUAUGGCUGCAAAAUCAAAUAAUCCCAUCAUGACGUGCGUAUACAUCCACCAAGUUUUAUUCAGAUUAGAAGCAUUUGGACAUGCGCAGACGUGGUAGUGGUUCACUCCAUCCAGAUCAGGAGUUUCCCCCUGUUAAAUAAUAUCAUUAGAUGGCGCCCUUCCGUACUUAUUUUACUGUUCUAUCAAAGGUUGGGCUGUGCGUGCAGAUGUGACAUCAUUACGCUGUAUGUACGACUUGUUAUGUUACCGGAGGAGACACGACACUUGUGGUUGUGUUUUCUGCCAGAGUGUUACUAAUGAAACCUCCUGUACUGGCCUCAAUUAAUAAGCCAAAGGCCUUAGAGUGAAGAUCGAGUCAGGUAAGACAGUCAUGAACUCCUGCGAUCGCUUGCGGAGUAGGAACAGAAAGAAGCCGGUGGAAAUGGAUGAUCGGCGGAUACAGCCUUUUCAUAGCCGUUCCGGACGCGGUGGAAAUUGGGGGUAAGUGUUUACAUGGACGUGUUUUGGUAUAACAAUCGGCAUAAACCACCCCUCUCUAUCGUAAUACAAUUUCUUCCCGAUUGAGCCGAAUUGGAUCAGAAUCUUCCGAUUUAUUCUGAUUAUUUGUGCCCAUGUAAACGCAGCUACUGUCGGGCUACUUCUCAGCGGUGCCCUGACCCUUGCUGUGUUGACCUGCAGUUUACAUGGUGAAGCCCUGCUGAGGGAAGCCUUGUAAUCCACUGAUGUUGCCCCAUUUGGUUUUCAAUGAGGCCUUUGAUUUUCAGACCCAGGAAGCCUCUGAAGAUCUAACCAAGCCUCUUUGAGUCUUUUAACCUAAAGAAACUGAAAUACCGGGGGACUCAUUAGCAUCUGUUAGAGUUUGAAAUACAACACUAAACACUCUAGAUGUGACAUUUAAUUCAGCUGGGAAUUUGGGUUUGAAUACAAGAUUGAUCCAUUAGGAGGUGCUUUGAAAAACAGUUGGAGGAAUUUUCAGGCUGCAAAUGAAAGUUAUAUUUGCUCAACAAUUAACACUUUAGUAUCAGGUUAACUGUUUGGGUAAAGCCUGGUACUUGAGUGUCCAAGUAAGAGCUAAUGACAUCUCCUGGUGAUUUAUUUAUUUAUUUAUUUGUUUCAUUUAGGACAUACAUCUAACUCUUGUUCCCGUCAAUGUCACGCAGGCCACGUUGAGUCCUUUUUAUCAGCAUUAAGACUGUUAAACAGCUGUUAUAAAUACACUGUAAUAAAAACAUAAAUACAGCUACUAAGAUAACAAGCACUGCUACUACUUAUAUGUGCUCUGGUGUCUUUUCAGUGGGCUCUUUAGCUGUAAAAUUCAGCUGUAUGACGGUAAAUCUCUAUAAUAGAUCAAAAAUCCAGGAAUUAUUUAUAAAGAAUUUAGUUUUGUGUGUAAGCAUGCCUGUGGUUUCAUGCUUUUAUAUUAGAGGAUAAGAUAUACAAUAAUAUAGAUCCUGUGAGUUUCAGAGGUUUAAGUACAUAUCUCUGUGUGGCGGGGACAGAGCAGAAGUGUCCGUGAGGUCGAGGGCUGGAGGGGUCACCGGAGGAGCGAGCGGACACCCGGGGAUCAGAGCAGAGGCUUCAGAGAGACAGAAAGUGGAGGCUGCAGGGUGAAUGUGCCCGUGUGUUUAGCAGAGCCAGAAGAAAGGACACUACAUCAACUCCAGCUGAGGCCCGAGGGGUUAAUGGAUAGGACUACCCAGCAGGGGUCAAAGGUCAGUAGGCCACUCUCUGCCAGGGCUAAUUGGUCACUGUGACCAGAGUUAACGCCAACUUCUCUAUGGAGAAAUUCAUACACAUGUAUGGAGCUGCUCUGACGGGCUGAUCAACGAUGCUUCUGUUGUGCUUCAACACAGUCAUGGAGAUCAGUCAGGUGUCCAUGGCAACAAUCAGCAGCCUUCACCGUACAUCGCCAUCAGCACCACCUACAAUGACAGCGAGGCUACACUCAAGAAAAGAUGGAGGGCUUUUGAUCUUAGACUCGUUUGCAUUUACUUAUUUAGCUUUAAUGGGAAAAUGACAACAGAGACGUGUCCAUAAUUUACCUUCAUGUUUGGAGCAUUCACUCAUGACCAUUCAACUCGAAACAUGUUCAUGCAUCAUGUGCCAGUAUACACUUUAAACUCAUCCAAGUCACAGUCAAACUGCAGAUGAUGUUGCGUAAAAGAGCUAAAUUAAAUAAAACAGAUGAUAUGAUUAGACAAAUUAAUUAAAAUUAACUUAGAUUUUUCAAAAUAAAGUUUAAAGGGUCUGAUUUUGAACUAAAUGUUUGUCAAUCAAACAGAUUUAAUGCUCAGAGGAAAUCAAAGUUUUUUAACAAUGAAAAAAAAUUUCUUCUGCUUCUUGAUUUUAUUGAUAUUAUUUCAAUCAGCAUCUGCAUUUUUUGCAUUACUGCAUCCAUUUGCACUGUUUAUUUUGCCUUCAUAACUCUGCACUACUGCCUUAUGGUCAUGUUCAUAGACUGUUUUUAUUCUUUAUUUAAUGUAAAUAUUGUUACAGUAUUUGUAUAAUGUGUACUGUUGGUGCUGCCUCUGGUUUUUUAAAUUUCCCUCAGGGAUUAAUAAAGUAUCUAUCUAUCUAUCUAUCUAUCUAUCUAUCUAUCUAUCUAUCUAUCUAUCUAUGAUUUGUAGGGGGUUUUGCCUGUUUUAAACCACAUAAUCUCAAAAUAAGACGUGUAUGAUCAAAAUUUCAACUAGUAAAAAGGUAUUACAAAAUAAAAUGUUUCUAAAACAUGAAAAAUAUUCUUAAAACAAACUGAGAAAAACUCAAUAUUCUCUCAUAAUUUAGCAAAAAGAUGCUCUUCAGUGAUUCAGUCUGUAAUAAAUAAUACAAAGACUCUAAUAGCUCUUGUGUUUAUAAUUCAAAGACAUAUAAUUACCUUCAAUGAUUUUUUUUAAUAUAAGAGGGAAUCCAGUUUGUGAAUAACUGUGUAAAUAGAGCACUUGUUGAUCUUAAAGGCUGAAUUCUAUCUAAAAGAAAGCAUAUUAUUAUGAAGAGUGAGUCUAAAUAUUAGGAACAUAUGAGGUGAUACAAGCAGAGCCACAGUGCAAGUCGUAAUUCACCAAAAUCAGAGUCUAAACCUGCUGUAUUCACAUGUAAGGGUUAAAAACCCGUAAAGGCUUCAGUUCAGAGGAGUCCUGAUGGAUUGAUGUUGUCAUGCUGAUGCUGUCAGACCCUUGAUGCUGCACUGUUAAUGAUUUAUGAGGGGUAGUGGGAUACCCAGAAAGGGACCUGGGUUAAUGUUCACCUCCUCUCUUGGGGGUCUGCCCACGGCUGAACAGAUCCAAACCCACAGAGGGGCACAUGACUGACUGACUGACUGACUCGGCCGGCCUCCAGCUAAACUGGGCCUACACGGCAAGGAGGGGGCCAGGCUUGGUUCUCACAGGCGUCAGGAGGGGACAGAAAAGAAGCCUGGUAUCUUUCUCAUGAAGCUCAAUGGACAGGCAGCAGCAAAAAUGAUACAAAGAGCUGGAAUGAGCUUAUAUUAAAGACUAACCAUGAAAGUGAUGACUAGUCACACUUAAGGUUUGCAAAAAUGAUCUCUGUGCAUUGGUUUAUUUGUGGCUGAUAUGUCAUUGGUCAUGUUUCUUUGUGCUUAAUGUGCAUUCUGGAAAAAAGUGACAUAAAAACCUGAAGCUUACAGCUCAUGCACCACUGACAGUGACCUCCCACCCCUUUUGGAAGGGGAGAUCUUUUUUGAGAUGUCAUCACAGAUAUGAAGAGACUUUUUUUUCUUCAUUUAUGGUCCCUGCAUGAGCAACAGAGCUGUCCUUCUUCUCCUUCCUUCAGUCUUGCACUCUCCUAGAGCUACCUCGCUUUACCCCUCUCUAACCCUCUCUUGGUGAAAUGGCUCUCCAUUUGUUCACUGUUAAAAGUGAAGCCACUGUCUUCCAUUGAGUUCUUCUCCCCUCUGAGUCUUACAUGGUUAUUUUCAGUCCUCUGUCAUGCAUAUAGACUCUGGUACAGUAGAGGCUGAGGACAGACCAGGUGAUGGAUAGGAGCGGUGCUUGUCAUUCGCUGCCUUACUUCGCUCUCAUUAAGCUGUAAAUCUUUCACAACAACACCCACCAACACAAUGGCACAGAGUCUUCUCCUUGCUGCUCCACCUUGUGUAACAAUGAAACUGCCGACUGAAUCACUUUAGUUCAGACCCACUGAGGCCUCAAGACUUCACACAGCCAAUAAACAUGUUGGAAAGUAAUUAACAGCUAAUAGUCGAAAUGAAAGUAUAAAUUCAUAUAAUGAAUUUACAAAAAAAAACAAAACUCAAAACUUUGAAAUUUAGUUUUUUGAAUUAUGACUGAACCAGAACUUUUCCAUAAUAGUGUUCCUGGUCCCAAAUGAGAAGUGUUUGUGUAGUCACAGGUCUUUUGUCUGGAAGACAGUCACAGUGUUGCAGAUUAGUGUGUGUGUGUGUGUGCGUGUGUGUGUGUGUGUGUGUGUGUGUGUGUGUAAGCAGUACCUGGGCAGUGUGUAUAAAAUUGCAAGUGCAACACUGACAUCUGCUGGACACUUGUAUCUAUUGUGUUGGGUGCAGUGUUGUGCAUGGGAAUUCAACGCCCUGUUUGCUGUUUCGCAGGUAGUCCUGUCUCUAGGAUUGGGUAUUGGACUCUCAUAUUACUGAAAACUAGCUACUCUUUAAUUUUAUUUUUUUUCAAAAUUAAGACUUAUAUUUGGACUAGCACAGUCCAUGCUGCGUAUAUCAGGCUAAAUGUAAGAUUUGUGUUAUUUGCAGUGCAGACAAUUAUCUUUAAUUAUAAGAGAUUAAAACAAAGUUUCAGCUCUAUAAAGCUUAUGACAGGCCACAAUGCCUUUAAAUGUAUAGCCAUAGCUGCUGGGCUGUAAUAAGGUGCAAUUUUUGAGAAUUCUGGGUGAAACCAUAGACUGUAUAUA
Xyrichtys novacula (pearly razorfish) is the source of this 5393-nucleotide non-coding RNA. Lineage: Eukaryota; Metazoa; Chordata; Actinopteri; Labriformes; Labridae. The record is from the annotation of a GenBank genome assembly.